RNA transcript from Sphaerodactylus townsendi, 955 nucleotides. It is a transcript of the gene named DNL-type zinc finger, with no coding region annotated. The record is from RefSeq and is a predicted model, not a curated record. Lineage: Eukaryota; Metazoa; Chordata; Lepidosauria; Squamata; Sphaerodactylidae. The transcript has 3 exons.
UUGUGCCUGCACGUGGCCUCCUUUCCCAGAGCUGUUGUGGGCUCACUUUCCGCCUGCCGUCCAAAUAACACACGUGUGUCGUCCAUUUUCCACUUGCAGGGUUCCUCACCCCCCAGGCGCCAAGAACGAGGCCAAAGGUGGGGGGGGGGGGGGAUAGUGGUGAGUGUUGCUGCACUAGGAUACGGGAGACCCUGUUUGGAGCCGCCGCCCUCCUCCUCCUCCGCGCAGCCGAGCGGGGCUGGGGCGCAAGAUGGCGGCGGCGGCCUGGCGGCGGCUGCUGACGCGGGCUCCAGGCGGGCCGUGGCGAGGCCUGGCGGGUGGCGGCGGCGGCGGCGGCGGGGAGGAGGCGCCUUCGGCCGCCCCGCGCUACGGCCUGGCCUACACGUGCGGGGUGUGCGGGCGGCGGGCAGCGCAGACGGUGUCUCGGGCGGCCUACCACCGCGGCCUGGUCAUCGCCACCUGCCCCGGCUGCCGCAGCCGCCACCUCAUCGCCGACAACCUCGGCUGGUUCUCCCAUUUGGCCGGCGGCAGCAGAGUUCCUGGCUGCUGGCUCGCAGUGUCCUGCUGCUGGUGUGUUGAUUCCCUUGGAGAAGAGUACAUAACAUCCCACCCCUGUGCCACAGAUGACUCACUGUGGGAGCAUGACCUGUGAUACACAGUGUCAGACUCUCAAACGUGGAAAUAACAGAAACCAUAGGAAAGUCCAAAAGCAGUUUAUUCCAGGAACAUUGAGGAGAUCCUGGCAGCUAAAGGGGAGACAGUGAAGCGUGUCAUUGUGGACGGUGCCUUGGAACUCUUCCUUGAGAACUCUGACUCGGUCAGAUCACCAAGCCAGACCACAGGAGGUGAUGGAGAAGAUUCUUUGGGGCCUGGAAAAGAUCCAGUGUGAUCAUGGAUUCAUUUCUUUGGACAGGAAGACCUCUGUUUUUGCAAUAUAAAAGACUGUGGAAACCUU